RNAcentral lists this ribosomal RNA (494 nucleotides) under uncultured bacterium. Its description in RNAcentral is "partial 16S ribosomal RNA". It matches the Rfam family "Bacterial small subunit ribosomal RNA", at positions 28 to 507 of the family's 1533-position model. The record is from RNAcentral.
GACGAACGCUGGCGGCGUGCUUAACACAUGCAAGUCGAACGGUGAAGCGCCUUCCUUUUUGGUGGGUGUGGAUGAGUGGCGAACGGGUGAGUAACACGUGAGUAACCUGCCCCCUUCUUCUGGAUAACCGCAUGAAAGUGUGGCUAAUACGGGAUAUUCUGGGUCUGUCGCAUGAUGGGUCUGGGAAAGAUAUUGUUUCGGUGGGGGAUGGGCUCGCGGCCUAUCAGCUUGUUGGUGGGGUGAUGGCCUACCAAGGCGGUGACGGGUAGCCGGCCUGAGAGGGUGGACGGUCACACUGGGACUGAGACACGGCCCAGACUCCUACGGGAGGCAGCAGGGGGGAAUAGUGCACAAUGGGCGCAAGCCUGAUGCAGCGACGCCGCGUGAGGGAUGGAGGCCUUCGGGUUGUGAACCUCUUUCGCCAGUGAAGCAGGCCUGCCUCGUUUGUGGGUGGGUUGACGGUAGCUGGAGAAGAAGCGCCGGCUAACUACGUG